This 114-nucleotide small nucleolar RNA is filed under the name Amborella trichopoda. RNAcentral's name for it is "Small nucleolar RNA Z107/R87". It matches the Rfam family "Small nucleolar RNA Z107/R87". From Rfam's summary of the family: Z107 and R87 are members of the C/D class of snoRNA which contain the C (UGAUGA) and D (CUGA) box motifs. Most of the members of the box C/D family function in directing site-specific 2'-O-methylation of substrate RNA The record is from Rfam by way of RNAcentral. Lineage: Eukaryota; Viridiplantae; Streptophyta; Magnoliopsida; Amborellales; Amborellaceae.
UUUUGCAGUGAUGUCUCCAAAAUUCAAGCUCAACAGACCGGAUUACAGCUCUCUCUCUCUCUCAUCAGAGAAAGAGAGAUCUGUGUGUCGAUAACCCCGCUGAACUGAGCAAUC